RNAcentral lists this ribosomal RNA (379 nucleotides) under Mantidactylus mocquardi. RNAcentral's name for it is "partial 16S ribosomal RNA". It matches the Rfam family "Bacterial large subunit ribosomal RNA", at positions 2059 to 2604 of the family's 2925-position model. Lineage: Eukaryota; Metazoa; Chordata; Amphibia; Anura; Mantellidae. The record is from RNAcentral.
AAGCGGGGAUAUUCUUAUAAGACGAGAAGACCCCAUGGAGCUUUAAACCCAAUUAUAUACCUAACUAUUAUAACCACUUAAUCCCUUAGCGCUAAUAUACUUGGUUUUAGGUUGGGGCGACCACGGAGUAUAACUAAACCUCCACAAUGAACGAAACAACCCUUCUUAUCUGAGAAUUACACCUCUAAGAAUUAGUAUACUAACAUAAAAUGACCCACUAUUGAUCAACGAACCAAGUUACCCUGGGGAUAACAGCGCAAUCCAUUUUAAGAGCCCCUAUCGACAAAUGGGUUUACGACCUCGAUGUUGGAUCAGGAUAUCCUAGUGGUGCAGCAGCUACUAAAGGUUCGUUUGUUCAACGAUUAAAAUCCUACGUGAU